RNAcentral lists this ribosomal RNA (468 nucleotides) under uncultured bacterium. Its description in RNAcentral is "partial 16S ribosomal RNA". It matches the Rfam family "Bacterial small subunit ribosomal RNA", at positions 28 to 507 of the family's 1533-position model. The record is from RNAcentral.
GACGAACGCUGGCGGCGUGCUUAACACAUGCAAGUCGAACGGAAAGGCCCUGGUUUUGUGGGGUGCUCGAGUGGCGAACGGGUGAGUAACACGUGAGUAACCUGCCCUUGACUUUGGGAUAACUUCAGGAAACUGCGGCUAAUACCGGAUAGGAGCUCCUGCUGCAUGGUGGGGGUUGGAAAGUUUCGGCGGUUGGGGAUGGACUCGCGGCUUAUCAGCUUGUUGGUGGGGUAGUGGCUUACCAAGGCUUUGACGGGUAGCCGGCCUGAGAGGGUGACCGGCCACACUGGGACUGAGAUACGGCCCAGACUCCUACGGGAGGCAGCAGUGGGGAAUAUUGCACAAUGGGCGGAAGCCUGAUGCAGCAACGCCGCGUGCGGGAUGACGGCCUUCGGGUUGUAAACCUCUUUCGCCUGGGACGAAGCGUGAGUGACGGUAAUUGGUAAAGAAGCACCGGCUAACUACGUG